RNAcentral lists this long non-coding RNA (641 nucleotides) under Lepisosteus oculatus (spotted gar). RNAcentral's name for it is "lncRNA (ENSLOCG00000022456.1)". Lineage: Eukaryota; Metazoa; Chordata; Actinopteri; Semionotiformes; Lepisosteidae. The record is from RNAcentral.
GUCUCCAGAGGACAGCAUGUGCCGAUUUUAACAGUUACUUGAGAAGGGACUCUGAACUCGGAGCAGGAAGAUGAGUGCAGCCCUGGAAGACUCGGACUGUAACUCUUCUUUUGGGGGGCUGGCGCCCAGCAGUCCAGACCCCAUGAAUAAAGCCUGCUUAUUCGACGACAGCAUGGAGCUGUUUGACUCGUUAGAUGUCAGCAGGGGUUCAGAGCCCCCAAGUUUUCUUUCUAAAACCCCCAGCCCCGUUUUCUCGAAGGCGAACACGAGGUGUUUCAGAGCAGCAAGCAGAGAAGAGGAGAUUGAGAGUGUAAGUAGGUUUUACGAAGUUGGAAGAUAAGAUAAGAUCACUUUAUUGGCCAUAUACAAUUUCUUGCAUUAGGAAUGUUUCUUUUCACAUACCCCAGCUUGCUCUUCAUGAGACACACAGACAGGGAGAGAAGCUGGGGGUCAGAGCGCAGGGUCAGCCAUUUAUACGGCACCCCUGGAGCAGUUGGGGUUCAGGGCCUUGCUCUGGGGCCCAACGGAGUAGGAUACCUCUGUUGGCCACGGAAUUCGAACCGGCAACCUUCCAGCCACAGUGCCACCACUGCAAUACGCAGAUGGACCAUAACGUGUUAAUGUGGAGAAGUUUGAUUUUC